ACCCGCAGGUGCCUCCCGAGGCGGCCUGGAGAAGGGAUGGUGUGUGCACCGCAACUUCCUUCCUCCCGAGCCAGCCGCCCUUCUCCAGUUCUCAGUGGGGACAGGACCCCCUGCUCUUUUGAUCCUCGCCUCUGCCGCCACUCUCUUCUCUCCCCCCACCUCCCCAGUCUCUUCUGCAAAAGAUCCUGUGAUGUCAUAGGGGAGGAGGGGGUCCGGAGUCCCCAGCACCUGAAAGCAUCACUAGAUUGCAUUCUGCAGCAUUUUAUUUUCUUCAUGCCACCCAAUUUUCCUUGCAACCCAUUGAAAUCGCAUCCUCACCAAACACUGCAAACACUGUCCCGUCCCCCCUCCCCCCAAGCCAAGCCAAGCCCAACCAUAAGACACCACUCCUUCAUAGCUAGACAGGGCCAGGAGUCCUCAUAGCACCCCACCCCAUCGCCCCCCCAAAUGGGGAAGAAAUCCGCUGAGGCACCCAAGGAGCCUCUCCUUUCUGGUUUGAUCUCUCCUCCCCUCUCGGCUCACCCUUCUACUUGAAGGAAAAGGAGGAAGGAGGAAGGAGAGAGAGACUGAGAGAGGGAGAGGGAGAGGCAGAGAGAGAGAGAGAGAGAGAGAGAGAGAGACAGAGAGAGAGAGGCGCAACACCAGCAAACAGUCUCCUAGACGUAGGGCUACAUUGAUGGACCGGAUUGUAGGAUUUCUGCACUGAGUCCCUGCCCCUCUGCCUUUCCUGCCACCCCAAGUCCCUUCCCCUCCUGAAGCAGCAAUCUCUUCCAUCUCCCUCUCUGGUCUCUUCUCCCCACCCCUUUCCUCUGCACCUAACCCCCUCCCCUCCAUCCAACCCCACCUUCACUCUCCUCUCCGAGGGGGGAGGGCCAGGGGGUGGGGAAAGAAAACCCCCAAAUCCCCAGCCCUGGGCAGAGAUGUCGAAGAAACGCAAAGCCCUCGAGGGUGGAGGAGGUGGCGGAGAACCCCAGCUCCCAGAGGAGGAACCCACUGCCUGGUUUGGGGACAGCAGCGAGGAGCAAGACCAGUCCCAGUGCUGACCAGUCCCAUCGUAUCUCUGACGGUGCAUAUCAGGAUCCGCAUUGAUCAGAUGCCGAAACCAUGGCUUGGAAUGGCUGCGAUGAAGCUGAGCUGCGAUUCAAACCCAGACACAGCUUUCUACAGAGAAGCACCUUUCUCCAGAUCUUCAUUGCCAUUUUGGACACACAGCUCCAAACCCAAAAUGUGUCCACUGGAUCAACCCACAAUGCAAACAACUGCUUUCUAAGGAAAAGCCGAGUUUCUAGGAGGCAGCCCACUUCUGACGUGUCCUUCAGUUAACAGGCUGCAGUGGACAGCGUGUGGUGGGUGGAGGAAGACGGCAGAUGAGAAAUUCAAGGAGAUUCACCACAGAGCAGCUUUCUGGCUCAGCUGUUCUAGGGUGCCAUGGAAAACACACCGCUUGACAAGGCUCCACCCUGGAGAUUUACUACUCAGUGAAAAGACACAUCCUAUUCACGGAUUGGGAUGCUGGAGUCCCCAUGUUCUGGGAAGAGGUCUGUCUUGGCAGGCUGCCUUCCCUCUGGAAAAGCGGCAUCUGGAGUGCCCACUCCUCUGACAAUACAACACGGAAUUGGCAGGGGGACACCUCCAGCCUUCACUAGACUUGCCUUGGUGUUAUCGCAUGCAGCCCGUGCAUUCAAGGUUCCUGGCCCCCGUGCUGGAUUGUAUGUGGAUUCUCUUUUGUGGCCUCUGCUGCUGUGAAUGGAACCCACAUUUAGAAUCAGCAACUCCCAGCAAAAUUGAGUACUCUGCAAUUCCUUAAAGCCCCUUUCUCUUUUCUCCAUGUUUCUCCAACCCAACGGUAGCCCAAGACAUUUUAGGUUGCCAUUGUGGGUGUUGUUUAUGGACUGUCUCCUUUGGGAGGCACUUUCUCGUUCUCUAAGAAGAAACAAAGCAAAACACAAGACCCAGCCUUCCCAGGUGUGUGAAGUCCUGCAUGGCAGCCCUCGCUGGCUCUCUGCGAACAGGGACAGAGCCCGACUCCUUCCUGUGGCUUCAUUUCCAUUGUCCUUGCUUCCUCGUAAUAAUUUUUGUGAAGAUUAUUCUGGGGCUGCAAAACUUAGCCUUACUUUUCAAAGUGUUCUUGCUCCUCCUCUCCCAAGCAUUUGCUGAAAUAAGAGGUUCCUCCGGGUUUUUGGAAACAUAUUCCUCAGUUCCUGACUUGACUCCAGAACGACACUUGUUUAAAGUUCACCCUCUUCUUCUCUGGGUUUCCAAUGUUGUCCUAAGGCUCGAGGUGUAGUUUUUUGUUAGUUCUUUUGUUGGUUUAGGUAGCAAUGACUGAAGCCUGUUCUCUCUAAGAGCUGACUACAAUUUUCUCUCUGCCUCUGAACAAACUAUUUUGCAGAGCUAGAGGUGUCCAGGCAUGGCCUCAGCCCUCACCCAUGCUGCUCUGGGCGCGGCCUCAGCCCUCAUCCAUGCUGCUCUGGGCUGUUCCACGGUCCUUUCCCCACUGCUGCAGGGAGGCCCAUCACUGGUCUGAGGCAUCCGCUCCUCCUGCAGGGUGCUUUAUUCCUCCUUCUUGCUGGAUUUCACAAACCACGAUGGCACUCAGGUCAGGGCAGCACACGAACCCCUGACACCUGGCUGAGGAGCAGGAUGAUGAGGGGGAAAGGAAGCUGAGGCCACAAACUUCAGGGCGGCCAGUGACUCUCAGCCCAAACCUCAGAGCUCCUCUUUGCAGAGUCUGCAGAGAGAGUGCGGCUCCCACUGUGCAAUGCACAGAGAGUGUCUCUGAAGUGACUCGCACCUGAAUCCAGUUCCAGCAACGCGAGGCUCCCGGGAAGGGCAGCUGCUCUUUCAGAGGGAGGCUCUCGCCCACCCCUCACACCUCAGCCUCUAUGCCCCUGGCCUUCCACGCUGGGAACAGUGUUACCCACCUCUGGGGAAAGAGAUGUGGUGAUGGCCCGGAUCCUGAAUCUCCCACCAGGACCAGUGAAUCCUGCAACCACGGCGGCAGGCCUGCACUGCACCAGGACUCUGGGCGAUGGAGCCUUGUGCCUUGCAGCCAGGGUUUUGGCCCCAUCACCAUGAAUAGUCUCCUGCUACAUAUAAGCCAACAAGGCUGCUUGUCCUGAUGAGUUCAAAACCUAGUUGAAAAUAUGCAGAGGAGUCCUCCUAACACAAGGCCCUGCUCUGUGAUUGCCUGGCCCGUAAAGAAAGGGUCAAGGUCCCAAGACAGAGCCCUACCUCACAAGACCUGUCCAGCAAGGACAGGGCUGUGAGCACUUGCAUUCCUUCCUUCUGCAACCCAGGAGCGAAGGCCGUCUUGGAUAUUAAUUUACUUACCUGGACUCCGAUCUACCGUGUGACUUUGGUCACGUUACUUCACCUCUCUUGGCCAAUAGUCUCUUUACUUUUUGCAACCCAGGGACUGGGCUUCUUCAGUGCCUCUUAGAACUCCUGAUCCUAAGGGAAAGGAUCUGCCCUUUGGGCAGCGUUUAAGUGUUCUCUUCCCUAAGCACCUCUCCUAUUCCAGGCUUUCUCUGUUCCAUGGAUUCCUUUUCCUCCCCAUGUGUGCAUUCUCUGGCACCUGCCAGAGGACCCCUUCCCAGAUGUUCCUUCCACCUUACCUUUCCAUUAUUUCCAUUCUUUCACCUUGCUUUGUCCUAAUCUGACUUUCUGAAGCCAUUAUCUAUUAUUUCAUUAUAAAAAGUCUAGCUUGGGACCCACCAAGUUCAUUUCAUGGCUGAUUAUUGGUUUGAGACCUGGAGUUUGAAAAACAGUGCUCUACAGGACCUUGAAAGACAAGUGCAUAACCCCUGUCAUUCAAGUGACUUCGGCACUGUGGAUCCUAGGACAGGUCCCUGAAGAAGGCAAGUGGUAGAGAAGGGAGAAAGGAUCUCAGGACGUGAGUUCAUAGGAGGCUGGGAAAAGUGUGAAAUGGUUUUAUGCUGGGAAAGCUAAACGGAGAGCUUCCUCCUUUCCACUGCGCCCUUGGAGCAGUACUGGCCGAAGGACUUUGUGACAAAGAAGGGUCUUACGUGACUUUAAGCUCUUCUCCAGGAGUCUACUAUUCCAAGAUCACUGGCUUUGCCACCAGUCUCAUGUGGGGAAAUAAGGAAGGGAGGAAGGAAGGAAGAAAGGAAGAAAGGAAGGGAGG
This 4147-nucleotide long non-coding RNA is filed under the name Homo sapiens (human). Its description in RNAcentral is "HSALNT0338420". The record is from RNAcentral. Lineage: Eukaryota; Metazoa; Chordata; Mammalia; Primates; Hominidae.